Molecule: transfer RNA, 74 nt
Filed under: Bacteroidota bacterium
Lineage: Bacteria; Pseudomonadati; Bacteroidota
Also listed under: 1 other name
Description: Bacteroidetes bacterium (activated sludge metagenome) tRNA-Leu
Rfam family: tRNA
About the family: Transfer RNA (tRNA) molecules are approximately 80 nucleotides in length. Their secondary structure includes four short double-helical elements and three loops (D, anti-codon, and T loops).
Source: RNAcentral
GCUUCGCUAGCGCAACUGGCAGAUGCAUUCCGCUCAAAACGGAAAGGUUCUAGGUUCGAAUCCUAGGCGAAGCA